CCUACGGGAGGCAGCAGUAGGGAAUCUUCCACAAUGGGCGAAAGCCUGAUGGAGCAACGCCGCGUGGGUGAAGAAGGUCUUCGGAUCGUAAAACCCUGUUGUUAGAGAAGAAAGUGCGUGAGAGUAACUGUUCACGUUUCGACGGUAUCUAACCAGAAAGCCACGGCUAACUACGUGCCAGCAGCCGCGGUAAUACGUAGGUGGCAAGCGUUAUCCGGAUUUAUUGGGCGUAAAGGGAACGCAGGCGGUCUUUUAAGUCUGAUGUGAAAGCCUUCGGCUUAACCGGAGUAGUGCAUUGGAAACUGGGAGAAUUGAGUGCAGAAGAGGAGAGUGGAACUCCAUGUGUAGCGGUGAAAUGUGUAGAUAUAUGGAGAACACCAGUGGCGAAAGCGGCUCUCUGGUCUGUAACUGACGCUGAGGUUCGAAAGCGUGGGUAGCAAACAGGAUUAGAUACCCGAGUAGUC
RNAcentral lists this ribosomal RNA (464 nucleotides) under uncultured bacterium. Its description in RNAcentral is "partial 16S ribosomal RNA". It matches the Rfam family "Bacterial small subunit ribosomal RNA", at positions 338 to 795 of the family's 1533-position model. The record is from RNAcentral.